AGCAGCCGCGGUAAUUCCAGCUCCAAUAGCGUAUAUAAAGUUGUUGCAGUUAAAAGCUCUAGUUGAAUUUCGGGGUCAGUAGUCAAGUUGCUGGUGCCGAUGCCGUUCGGAUACCGGUAACCUUGGGGCUAUUCUCAAUUCGGUUUUGCAUUUCCACCUUUCCCUUUGAAGCCAACCGGACGAUUGGUCAAUUAAGUUUCGGUUGGUUCGAAUUGGGGGCCAA
This 223-nucleotide ribosomal RNA is filed under the name uncultured Glomeromycotina. RNAcentral describes it as "partial small subunit ribosomal RNA". It matches the Rfam family "Eukaryotic small subunit ribosomal RNA", at positions 569 to 810 of the family's 1831-position model. The record is from RNAcentral. Lineage: Eukaryota; Fungi; Glomeromycota.